This 467-nucleotide ribosomal RNA is filed under the name uncultured bacterium. RNAcentral describes it as "bacterial SSU rRNA". It matches the Rfam family "Bacterial small subunit ribosomal RNA", at positions 328 to 793 of the family's 1533-position model. The record is from RNAcentral.
GUGCCAGACUCCUACGGGAGGCAGCAGUGAGGAAUAUUGGUCAAUGGUCGGGAGGCUGAACCAGCCAAGCCGCGUGAGGGAGGAAGGUACAGAGUAUCGUAAACCUCUUUUGUCAGGGAACAAAGGCGGGGACGUGUCCCCGGAUGAGUGUACCUGAAGAAAAAGCAUCGGCUAACUCCGUGCCAGCAGCCGCGGUAAUACGGAGGAUGCGAGCGUUAUCCGGAUUUAUUGGGUUUAAAGGGUGCGCAGGCGGUCUGUUAAGGCAGCGGUCAAAGCCCGGGGCUCAACCCCGGCCGGCCGUUGAAACUGGCGUGCUCGAGUUGGAGAGAAGUAUGCGGAAUUCGUGGUGUAGCGGUGAAAUGCAUAGAUAUCACGAAGAACCCCGAUUGCGAAGGCAGCAUACCGGCUCCACACUGACGCUGAGGCACGAAAGCGUGGGUAUCGAACAGGAUUAGAUACCCUCGUAG